CCUACGGGUGGCAGCAGUGAGGAAUAUUGGUCAAUGGACGGAAGUCUGAACCAGCCAUGCCGCGUGCAGGAAGACGGCCCUAUGAGUUGUAAACUGCUUUUGUACAAGGGUAAACCUGAACACGUGUAUUUAGCUGCAAGUACUUUAUGAAUAAGGAUCGGCUAACUCCGUGCCAGCAGCCGCGGUAAUACGGAGGAUCCAAGCGUUAUCCGGAUUUAUUGGGUUUAAAGGGUGCGUAGGUGGGUUGAUAAGUUAGGGGUGAAAUGUUCGGGCUUAACUCGGGAACUGCAUUUAAUACUGGUGGUCUUGAGUAUAGAUGCGGUAGGCGGAAUGUGUGGUGUAGCGGUGAAAUGCUUAGAGAUCAUACAGAACCCCGAUUGCGAAGGCAGCUUACCAAUCUAUAUCUGACGUUGAGGCACGAAAGCGUGGGGAGCAAACAGGAUUAGAUACCCUGGUAGUC
This 460-nucleotide ribosomal RNA is filed under the name uncultured bacterium. RNAcentral's name for it is "partial 16S ribosomal RNA". It matches the Rfam family "Bacterial small subunit ribosomal RNA", at positions 338 to 795 of the family's 1533-position model. The record is from RNAcentral.